GCAGUCGUACGAGAGUUUUUAACUCUAGUGGCGGACGGGUGAGUAACACGCUGAGAAUUUACCUUUAGGAGGGGGAUAACAAUUGGAAACGACUGCUAAUACCCCAUAUGCUUUUGAGUGAAAUGGAUUUAUAUUUAUCCGCCUAGAGAGAAGCUCGCGGCUGAUUAGCUUGUUGGUAAGGUAAGAGCUUACCAAGGCGACGAUCAGUAUCUGGUUUGAGAGGACGAUCAGACACACUGGAACUGAGACACGGUCCAGACUCCUACGGGAGGCAGCAGUGGGGAAUUUUCCGCAAUGGGCGAAAGCCUGACGGAGCAAUACCGCGUGAGGGAAGACUGCCUAUGGGUUGUAAACCUCUUCUUUCAGGGAGGAAUAAAAUGACGUGUACCUGAAGAAUAAGCAUCGGCUAACUCCGUGCCAGCAGCCGCGGUAAGACGGAGGAUGCAAGUGUUAUCCGGAAUCACUGGGCGUAAAGCGUCUGUAGGUGGUUUGAUAAGUCAACUGUUAAAUCUUGAGGCUCAACUUCAAAAUCGCAGUCGAAACUAUUAGACUAGAGUAUAGUAGAGGUAAAGGGAAUUUCCAGUGGAGCGGUGAAAUGCGUAGAUAUUGGAAAGAACACCGAUGGCGAAAGCACUUUACUGGGCUAUUACUAACACUCAGAGACGAAAGCUAGGGUAGCAAAUGGGAUUAGAUACCCCAGUAGUCCUAGCCGUAAACUAUGGAUACUAGAUGUUGAACAGAUCGACCUGUGCAGUAUCAAAGCUAACGCGUUAAGUAUCCCGCCUGGGAAGUAUGCUCGCAAGAGUGAAAACUCAAAGGGAAAUUGACGGGGG
Molecule: ribosomal RNA, 833 nt
Filed under: uncultured cyanobacterium
Lineage: Bacteria; Bacillati; Cyanobacteriota
Description: bacterial SSU rRNA
Rfam family: Bacterial small subunit ribosomal RNA
Source: RNAcentral